RNAcentral lists this long non-coding RNA (1106 nucleotides) under Ananas comosus (pineapple). RNAcentral describes it as "long non-coding RNA (ACOM_LNC005927)". Lineage: Eukaryota; Viridiplantae; Streptophyta; Magnoliopsida; Poales; Bromeliaceae. The record is from RNAcentral.
CCAUAUCCCGUAAGGUGGGCAAAGUGGGUCGAAGUCAAUUACGGUGAACAAAGAUGAAGAAAAAAUAAUAAAAUAAUAUAUUAGAUAAAGAUAGUUAUAUUUAAAUAUAUUUAAUUAUGGUACUAAUUAGUUUUUUAUUCAUUUGGCAUAUUUAAAAUAUGAUAAAAAUUGAUUAGUUAAGUUUUAAUAUUUUUUUAUUUUAUAAUGUUAUUGUUAUAUUACUAUAAUUUAGGUAUAAAAAAUAAUUUAGUUGCUUUAAAUUAAAAUUUAAUUAUAUAAAUAUAUAAUUAUAUUAUUUUAAUUUAUUAAAUUAUUUAUUAUUUAUAUAUAAAUUAUAGUUUUACAUCAUACAUUUCUUACCAAACAAAUUGCAUAACUAAUAAAACUUCACUUUCAUAAUUACAAAACAAACAGCGGAGAAGAAGUAGUUUUUAUCGAACUCCACUUCAACCUAAAGCCUAGUUUCAAUGAAACAAAGAUGCCCUAAGCUGAAAACUUUUUCAUAUUUAAAAUUUUAAACCCAAUCCAAACUUAAAGUUAUAAUUCAGAUACCCAAAGUCCUGCCCAUACGUGGCCUAUCGGGUCGGACCUUGAGAUUCAUUUAUUUAAUUAUAGAUUUUGGAAAAGGAGCCUACAAAAUGCAAUGCCCGUAGGGAUGUCAAUGGGUGUGGGCAUCCGAAAUUUUAUCCGAAUCCGAACCCGAAUGAAACGGAUAUAUCCGAUGGAUAUGGAUAUGGAUUCGGAUAUGAAUAUCAAAAUAGAAAUCCGACGGAUAUGGAUUCGGAUAUGGAUUUUGAUUGUACCCGACCCGAACCCAAACCCGAACCCGACCCGAACCCGAAUUUAUUUUGUAUAUAUAUAUUUGAUGUUAUAUUUGAAUUUGUAUUUCAAAAAUUUAGAUUUAAUAUAAUAUAUUUUGAAAUAUUGAAAAAAAAAUAAUUGUUUCGGGUUUAAAUUUUCGGGUUCGGGUUUCGAAUUUCGAAUUUUUGGUCGAGUUCGGGUUUGGAUAUAAAUUUUUAAAAUCCGUCGGGUUCGGAUUCGGGUUCGGGUAACGGGUUUGGAGUCGGGUUCGGGUUUUUAGAAAUCCGCCCCAAAUCCGACCAGUU